AUGGGCUGGGGAGCCCGCAGGCCCGGGCUCUAGGCGCUGACCAGGCCGCCUGGGAGCGGCCGUCCUUCUCCGCAGACGUUUACUGGGGGCCUACUGUGUGCCAGACCCGGUUCUAGCACGAGAGGGAGCAAAACGACAAAAUCCCUGGCCUCCCCGCCCAACACUCUAGAUAGAGGGACAGAUAAAUACGUUUUGUUUUUUUUUUUCAGUGUUUAAAGCACCUUUAAUCGCAAGAUAAAUACGUUUUUAAAAAAUAGUGAAGCCUGUCGGAUGGUGAUACAUUCUGAGUCCAAUAAUAAUAAUAAUAAUAAUAAUAAUAAUAAAAUAGAGCAGGAGGUAGGAGGUGCUGGGGUGCUCGAGUUGGGGGCGUUACACAGGGGGUCAAGAAGGUCACGCUGACCAGAUGACGUGAGGCACCAAGAGGAGGAGGGGGGCAGGCAGCCUGGGCACAGGGGUCCCAGGGAGAGCUCAGGGUCUCUCCCGACAGCCUGCGGGGCCACCUGAGCCUGCGCCCUGUACCCCCAGGCCCUAGAAGUAGGACGGUGACACGGGAGGUGAGUACACGGCCGCUUCCUGGAUGGACACUCACAGCAAAAGGGGAGGUCUUGGGUGGCCUCCAGUCCAGCAGAUCUUUGCCCUUUGAGAGGUUCUAGAACACUCUGGAAAGUUCUAGAAACCCUACCCCCACGCCCACCCAGCCCCGGAACUACACAUAACUCGGGAGGUCCGGAUACCUCUCAGAUGGCAGCGGGGCGAGGCUCAGGGAGGGUGAGUGAGGAGCCCGGGAUCACACAGCAGCGCGGGCAGCCCUCCCCGCCCACCCCCUGCGCGGCCGGAGGUUGCGCGGUUGUCUUGGCCGUUGAUUCAUAACGCUCGGCAGAACAGAAACAACCAGCUUGGCAAAACCGGGAGGCCCAGCUGAGUCACAGACGCCGAUGCCAGUGCCGAGCGCAGGACACGGAGGAGGGGACACCGCAGCGGGACCGGUGGGGGCCGCGGCCUAACGUCCUCCGUGGCUCCCACUGGCCUCAGGGCAAAGCCCCAGCUGCUCCCUCGGCCCCCCCAGCGGCGGCCUCGGGCACCCUGAGUGUCCCCAGCUUCAAAAUAAAUCUUCCUUCCGGUCCCUUAACCGGCGAGCUGCUUCCUUCCCCGUGCCAGGCGCCGUUCGGGACAUCUGUCACGUUUUAGUGCACGGGGAAUACCAGGGCGAGCUUGUGCGCGUGUUUUUAAGACACGCGCACACACACAACACAUAAAACAUGAAUAUAUAACCUAAUAAAUUCUUGUGAAACCCACGGCCACGUGAUCCGCAUCCAGGAGAAGCCGAAGCACGUCGUCAGCCCCGGGAGGGGACCCAGAUGCGCCUCGCUUCUGCCCCACGGUCCCCGCUGCUGCGACCCCGCCGUCUUCCUGUGCCCGCGGGUAGUUUUUGGUCGGAAGAUUGAUCUCAUCCUUCAUUUCUCAGGUUUACGCGGUGCUGUAUUCAUCAUCGGGGCCCUAGGAGCUGGGGCUUUUUA
Molecule: long non-coding RNA, 1517 nt
Filed under: Canis lupus familiaris (dog)
Lineage: Eukaryota; Metazoa; Chordata; Mammalia; Carnivora; Canidae
Description: lncRNA (ENSCAFG00845010438.1)
Source: RNAcentral